This 1018-nucleotide small RNA is filed under the name Oryza sativa Japonica Group (Japanese rice). Its description in RNAcentral is "sRNA Os12g0543101". Lineage: Eukaryota; Viridiplantae; Streptophyta; Magnoliopsida; Poales; Poaceae. The record is from RNAcentral.
AUCAAGAUGGGUUCGGAUCACAUAUGAUGAUUUAUCGCAGUUGUUAACUUGAUAUACGAUGGAGGCUGCAAGAUGCAUAUCGUUCUCUUAUACGUAGUCUCAACACACAGGGAUCUCUUUUAGCCUCUAUUUAUAUCCACUGUCAUUGUGUGAUUUCAUAGUGGAAGGGCCAAAAUUUUGUUUUUGCUCAGGAAAUAGUUAAGAGGAAAGGAUGGUUGCAGCCUUACAGUUUUAUCAUAUACAGUGAUCAAAAUUAAAGGACAGCGCGUCCACUCAUUUAUGACAGCCCAUCUGUGACGAACCAGAUUGCCCCGUCACACAGGACUUUAUCAUUGACGGGCUAAAAUAAAACCUAUUGUAGAUGAGGCUGGAUGAUACAUCCCGUCAUAGGUGUUACGUUAUCUUUGACGAGUUAAUGUGUAGACCUGACAUUGAUGCUAUCUUUCGGUUCAUAGGUGAAGAUUCAUCUGUGACGGAUGUUGAAUUAUUACCUAUCACAUAUGAGCACUAUUAUCUCUAACGGAUUGAAAAUACUACCAAACCUUGAUUCCCCUCAAACAACUUUUUAUUUUUAUUUACCCAUCACUAUUAACAAGUUCAAUCUUAUCUAUUUGCUCCUGCUGACUGUGCCUAACCUUGAUUCCCCAACAUCAUCUCUCUUUUGAUUCACCAAGCGCUUGCAACCCUAGCUCGACGGACGCCUCUACAUACGUCUUUAACCACGCACUAGAGGCUGCAUUUUUUUGCCACGGAGUGCCGGCUGCCACCUCCAUCUCCACUCUCGGGCCGACCAUUGUGGGAUCAAGCUUUUCCCAGAGUUCAUGGUAGCUAGAUUUGGCCAUCCACCAUGGGGACCGGUGAUGGAAGCGUCCGUGGUUGUGCAGCUGUUGACCUCUCCUCUGGCGUGGAUAGUGACGAGCUUUGGAGGGGCACAACUCCACAGCAUCAUAGACCCAUUCUCUGCCUCCGCAGCUAGUGCUGGGCCGGCCUUGGGAUCUGAACACCCCGAACCGCCUUU